This 545-nucleotide ribosomal RNA is filed under the name Cervidellus sp. MHt21. Its description in RNAcentral is "SSU rRNA". It matches the Rfam family "Eukaryotic small subunit ribosomal RNA", at positions 1085 to 1655 of the family's 1831-position model. The record is from RNAcentral. Lineage: Eukaryota; Metazoa; Nematoda; Chromadorea; Rhabditida; Cephalobidae.
AGCUUCCCGGAACGAAAGUCUUCCGGUUCCGGGGGAAGUAUGGUUGCAAAGCUGAAACUUAAAGGAAUUGACGGAAGGGCACCACCAGAAGUGGAGCCUGCGGCUUAAUUUGACUCAACACGGGGAAACUCACCCGGCCCGGACACCGUAAGGAUUGACAGAUUGAUAGCUCUUUCAUGAUUCGGUGGUUGGUGGUGCAUGGCCGUUCUUAGUUCGUGGAUUGAUUUGUCUGGUUUAUUCCGAUAACGAGCGAGACUCUAGCCUACUAAAUAGUAACGGGAUUGCUUAUGUCCCGCUUGCUUCUUAGAGGGAUUUUCGGUGUUUAGCCGCACGAGAUUGAGCAAUAACAGGUCUGUGAUGCCCUUAGAUGUCCGGGGCUGCACGCGCGCUACACUGGCGAAAUCAGCGUGCUGUAUCCAUUCUCGAAAGAGAUUGGUAAACCCAUGAAAAUUUGCCGUGCUUGGGAUCGGAAAUUGCAAUUAUUUUCCGUGAACGAGGAAUUUCUAGUAGAUACAUUUCAUCAAAAUGUGUCGAUUACGUCCCUG